AAACGCAAUCAAUAUUUCAGAGGUCGUAGCGGGCUCAAUUUUAAAGCUAGAGUGAAGAUACUGGUCUCGUAUGAAACUACAAUACCUAAGGAAUCCGUCGGUACCAACUAUGUCAUACUAGCAUUUCGCGAAAGAGGUGAAAUC
Sebastes umbrosus (honeycomb rockfish) is the source of this 144-nucleotide long non-coding RNA. RefSeq lists it as uncharacterized. The record is from RefSeq and is a predicted model, not a curated record. Lineage: Eukaryota; Metazoa; Chordata; Actinopteri; Perciformes; Sebastidae. The transcript has 3 exons.